AUGGCUUCCAGCUCUACCUGUAGGGCAUGGCAUUGCUUGCUUGCCCUGUUCCUCCUCUCCUCUUCCGCGUAUGGUCAGCUGUCGCCGUCGUUCUACGCCAAGACCUGCCCGACGCUGGAACUCAUCGUGCGCUCCACAGUGACCAAGGCAAUCCUCGUCGAGCGCCGAAUGGGGGCCUCCCUCCUUAGGCUCCACUUCCAUGACUGCUUUGUUCAAGGUAGCUUCGUGGGCGAGAAGACGGCCCUUCCCAACAUGAAUUCGGUGCGGGGCUUCGGCGUGAUCGACGAGAUCAAGAAGAACGUGGAGCUGGUCUGCCCUGGCGUCGUCUCCUGCGCCGACAUCAUCGCCGUCGCGGCACGGGACGGCGUGGUUCUGCUAGGCGGGCCCAGCUGGCCCGUGCCGCUCGGCCAGCGGGACUCGACGACGGCCAGCCUGAAUGCGGCGAACAGCGACAUCCCGACGCCUGACUAUAGCCUGGACCAGCUCAUCGCUGCGUUCAACAAGCACCAGCUGAGCCCACGGGACAUGACGGCGCUGUCCGGCGCGCACACCAUCGGCUACUCGCAGUGCAUCAACUUCCGCGACCACAUCUACAACGGCACCAACAUCGACCCGGUGUUCGCCACGCUGCGCAAGCGUACCUGCCCCGCCCAGGCCCCCAACGGCGAUACCAACCUGGCGCCGCUCGACGUGCAGACGCCGCUCGCCUUCGACAACGCCUACUACAGCAACCUGGUCGCCAAGCGCGGCCUGCUCAACUCCGACCAGGAGCUCUUCAACGGGGGCUCCCAGGACGCGCUGGUGAGCCGGUACGUCAUCAACCCGGCGCUCUUCGCGUCCGACUUCGUGACGGCGAUCAUCAAGAUGUCCAAGCUAAGCCCGCCCCCUGGAACCCCCACCCAGAUCAGGCGCAACUGCAGGGUCAUUAACAGCUGA
RNAcentral lists this ribosomal RNA (936 nucleotides) under Triticum aestivum (bread wheat). Its description in RNAcentral is "partial small subunit ribosomal RNA". The record is from RNAcentral. Lineage: Eukaryota; Viridiplantae; Streptophyta; Magnoliopsida; Poales; Poaceae.